AGAGUUUGAUCAUGGCUCAGGAUGAACGCUAGCGGCAGGCUUAACACAUGCAAGUCGAGGGGUAUAGGUUUUCGGACCUAGAGACCGGCGCACGGGUGCGUAACGCGUAUGCAAUCUACCUUUUACAGAGGGAUAGCCCAGAGAAAUUUGGAUUAAUACCUCAUAGUAUUACUGAAUGGCAUCAUUUAAUAAUUAAAGUCACAACGGUAAAAGAUGAGCAUGCGUCCCAUUAGCUAGUUGGUAAGGUAACGGCUUACCAAGGCAACGAUGGGUAGGGGUCCUGAGAGGGAGAUCCCCCACACUGGUACUGAGACACGGACCAGACUCCUACGGGAGGCAGCAGUGAGGAAUAUUGGUCAAUGGGCGCAAGCCUGAACCAGCCAUGCCGCGUGCAGGAUGAAGCAUCUAUGGUGUGUAAACUGCUUUUGUACGAGAAGAAACACUCCUUCGUGAAGGAGCUUGACGGUAUCGUAAGAAUAAGGACCGGCUAACUCCGUGCCAGCAGCCGCGGUAAUACGGAGGGUCCAAGCGUUAUCCGGAAUCAUUGGGUUUAAAGGGUCCGUAGGCGGUUUUGUAAGUCAGUGGUGAAAGCCCAUCGCUCAACGGUGGAACGGCCAUUGAUACUGCAAGACUUGAAUUAUUAGGAAGUAACUAGAAUAUGUAGUGUAGCGGUGAAAUGCUUAGAGAUUACAUGGAAUACCAAUUGCGAAGGCAGGUUACUACUAAUGGAUUGACGCUGAUGGACGAAAGCGUGGGUAGCGAACAGGAUUAGAUACCCUAGUAGUCC
Molecule: ribosomal RNA, 787 nt
Filed under: uncultured bacterium
Lineage: Bacteria
Description: bacterial SSU rRNA
Rfam family: Bacterial small subunit ribosomal RNA
Source: RNAcentral